CCUUUGGGUCUGCAACCCACCGGGAUACCCUAACUUUUGCCUAAGUCAAUCUUGUUUUCAAGCUUUUGACUUAGCGGGCUUUUUAUUUGCUUUUGAUUUUUUCAUUUCAUUUUUUUUUUAUUUGACCAAAUCCUGUGACCUCUGCUUUCUUGAUUUGUUGCAAGGUUCAUGACUAUCUCACUCCUUUUAUGGGUAAGGGAUAACCAUUAUGAAUUUGUGAUUCCAUC
This 227-nucleotide long non-coding RNA is filed under the name Lathyrus oleraceus (garden pea). RNAcentral describes it as "Pisum sativum (pea) long non-coding RNA (PSAT_LNC028068)". Lineage: Eukaryota; Viridiplantae; Streptophyta; Magnoliopsida; Fabales; Fabaceae. The record is from RNAcentral.